GGACAAAUCCAUCAUCGAGACUCGCCCUCACACGGCGGUGGUCGUGGGUUCGAAUCCCACCCUGCCCA
Molecule: transfer RNA, 68 nt
Filed under: Candidatus Bathyarchaeota archaeon
Lineage: Archaea; Thermoproteati; Candidatus Bathyarchaeota
Description: tRNA-Val
Source: RNAcentral